RNAcentral lists this ribosomal RNA (249 nucleotides) under uncultured Chitinophagaceae bacterium. RNAcentral's name for it is "partial 16S ribosomal RNA". It matches the Rfam family "Bacterial small subunit ribosomal RNA", at positions 355 to 601 of the family's 1533-position model. Lineage: Bacteria; Pseudomonadati; Bacteroidota; Chitinophagia; Chitinophagales; Chitinophagaceae. The record is from RNAcentral.
UAAGGAAUAUUGGUCAAUGGACGCAAGUCUGAACCAGCCAUGCCGCGUGAAGGAUGACGGCCCUCUGGGUUGUAAACUUCUUUUAUCUGGGACGAAACAAGGUCAUUCUUGAUCACUUGACGGUACCAGAGGAAUAAGCACCGGCUAACUCCGUGCCAGCAGCCGCGGUAAUACGGAGGGUGCAAGCGUUGUCCGGAAUUAUUGGGCGUAACGAGCUCGUAGGCGGGUUGUCGCGUCUGCUGUGAAACU